This 526-nucleotide ribosomal RNA is filed under the name fungal sp. aurim625. Its description in RNAcentral is "eukaryotic LSU rRNA". The stretch from base 204 to 357 matches the Rfam family "5.8S ribosomal RNA". The record is from RNAcentral. Lineage: Eukaryota; Fungi.
CGGGAGGACCGUGAGGGCUUACACGUCGGGUCUCGUCUUUUUGUUGCCGAAAGGCCGCAAAUUGGUGGGGUGUCUGAAAACCCUUGAAUAUAAAACUUAGUUGCUUUGGCGGGCCGCCCUUGGGCGUCGGCCCCGGCUGACAGUGCCCGCCAGAGGCCCAAAACUCUAUUGUCUCUGACGUCUGAGUACUAUAUAAUAGUUAAAACUUUCAACAACGGAUCUCUUGGUUCUGGCAUCGAUGAAGAACGCAGCGAAAUGCGAUAAGUAAUGUGAAUUGCAGAAUUCAGUGAAUCAUCGAAUCUUUGAACGCACAUUGCGCCCCCUGGUAUUCCGGGGGGCAUGCCUGUUCGAGCGUCAUUAUGACCAAUCCCGCAAGGGGUCUUGGGGUCUCGCGGUUCGCUGCGGCCCUUAAAAUCAGUGGCGGCGCCAGCGGUGCUCUCAGCGUAGUAAUACUCCUCGCUCGGGAACCACGGUGGAUGCUCGCCAGCAACCUUUACUUUCUUAGGUUGACCUCGGACAGGUAGGA